AAUAAGCACAGCCAUGAGUUUUCGUGCGCAAGUUUAAUCGUCCGCCUUAUUUAAAUUUUUUUAUGAUUAGUAUUUUUAUUGUUAUUAGAUUAUAAACCAUAAAUAUUACUUUAUGCGUGACUUAUUUAUUUUAGUUUUUUUAAAAAAAUUAAAUAGAACGAACGAUUAAAGUUGAACACGAAAACUCAUGGCUGCAUUUAUU
Non-coding RNA from Oryza nivara, 202 nucleotides. The record is from Rfam. Lineage: Eukaryota; Viridiplantae; Streptophyta; Magnoliopsida; Poales; Poaceae.